RNAcentral lists this ribosomal RNA (464 nucleotides) under uncultured bacterium. Its description in RNAcentral is "partial 16S ribosomal RNA". It matches the Rfam family "Bacterial small subunit ribosomal RNA", at positions 28 to 506 of the family's 1533-position model. The record is from RNAcentral.
GACGAACGCUGGCGGCGUGCUUAACACAUGCAAGUCGUACGGUAAGGCCCUUUCGGGGGUACACGAGUGGCGAACGGGUGAGUAACACGUGAGUAACCUGCCCACAACUUUGGGAUAACGCUAGGAAACUGGUGCUAAUACUGGAUAUGUGCUCCUGCUGCAUGGUGGGGGUUGGAAAGCUCCGGCGGUUGUGGAUGGACUCGCGGCCUAUCAGCUUGUUGGUGGGGUAGUGGCCUACCAAGGCGGCGACGGGUAGCCGGCCUGAGAGGGUGACCGGCCACAUUGGGACUGAGAUACGGCCCAGACUACUAAGGGAGGCAGCAGUGGGGAAUAUUGAACAAUGGGCGCAAGCCUGAUGCAGCAACGCCGCGUGCGGGAUGACGGCCUUCGGGUUGUAAACCGCUUUCAGCAGGGACGAAGCUUUUUGUGACGGUAACUGCAGAAGAAGCACCGGCUAACUACGU